UACAAACUUAACAGACCAGAAGUGUGAUAGGAGCUCCUGAAACCAGUCCCUUGGUCUGUUCUGACUUUCAUGGAACAAGUAUUCAUUGAGUAGAAUUGAGAAAGGGAAAGUGUUUGAAUAUGGUUCACCAUCCAUUAGGUAAGUAUAUUCAUCUUGUUUUUGGUGGGGUUUUUUUCACCGCAUCAGUACCUCAUUUUCUUAAUAAUGAGGCAGAGCAUUGCAUAUAUGAAAAAUCUUCACAGUAG
RNAcentral lists this long non-coding RNA (245 nucleotides) under Gallus gallus (chicken). Lineage: Eukaryota; Metazoa; Chordata; Aves; Galliformes; Phasianidae. The record is from RNAcentral.